Molecule: long non-coding RNA, 703 nt
Organism: Hypanus sabinus (Atlantic stingray)
Lineage: Eukaryota; Metazoa; Chordata; Chondrichthyes; Myliobatiformes; Dasyatidae
Exons: 3
Source: RefSeq, a predicted model, not a curated record
GUGCUGUGCCGUGAAUGAACUGUGUAUGCUCGGGUUGAAAGUGUUUAAUUCAGGGCUCUGGAGUUGAGCAACUGCGCGACUCCUCCCACCGACCGGCUGCUCGGCCACCGUCCGCCCGAUGAAGGCGGGAAUCGGAGGCUGGGUCCGGUGGGACACCCGCUGCCAUGUCGGAAGCGAGAGAGCUGGCUGAGGCUGUGGAGGAGCUCAACGCCCAGUUGCUGAGGUUCCAAGAGAAUCUGCAGAAGGUCACCGAGUUCCAGGUCUCUCUCCUCCGUGUCAACAAACUGAUGUGCUUCUGGAUGGAAAAUACACACAAGUUAAUAAAGCAUCGCUCACUGAUGUUUCAGACACCGCCUACCCUGAAUCAGCCCAGGAAAUGAUUCCAGAUGUGUUCUGGUCCCCCACCCCCCCCCCCCCAUCCAGACCUUCCGGCUGGUCCCAUCUGAAGAUUGUAACUCUUUUCAUUCCCAAGCUUUGGAUUCUCCACUGGGGAGGUACACUGGCUGGUCCCUCCUAAGCCAUGACAUGCUGGAGUGCUGGCAGGCACGGAGAAACAUCGUCGGACUUGUGAAGCUGCGGACAAAACCAGCUGAAACCAACCCCCCCCCCACCCCCGAAUGGCUUGCAGGCUUUCUUUUAACCUGAUGUUAAGUGUCUAUCUGUCAGCUCUCUCUUACUACUUAAAUAAACGGAGUGAUAUCUC